UGGCUGCUGUGGGGGCAAGGAAGAGUCAGUGCAUAGAGGAGCUGCCUACAAGAAACAUCAAGGAGUUCAGCCACUGGAGGGCAACGUGAUCCCAGACACCAGGCAGAGGCAGCUCUGUAGCCCGCCGGAGUAGGGAGCGUCACCCAGCAAGCACUGCCGCACUGGAGAUGAAUUUCUGCGCAUUAAUCUGGCAGAAAUUAGGUGAGAACACUGGUGUAUGACCAAAAUAAUCACCCAGGACAAAGGCUCAGACUGCUGAGGUGUCAACCCCCUGUGCAGAGCUCUUGCCAGAGAGACUACCUGAGAUAUUGUCAGAAUCAAGUAGCUCAACAAUGCUGUAUGGAGAACAAUCUUCCAAGCCCAGCUUGCUGCAGAGCCAGCCACAGAAUCCUUUCUCCAUAUCCCUGACAGCGUGCCACCAGUACCCAAAGGACCAUGCUACCUGGGCUACAGCUGAAUACAGGCCUAGGGAGAAAGAAACAACCAUAAUUAUAAUUGGGUAGGAGAUAAUCAAAAAGGGACAAAAGGUGAUUUUGUGCCAGAAGGUCCUCUCUUCAUUAUACACCAAGAAGAUGUUGUACCAUGUAAUGGUUCCAUAGUAGAAUGAAACCACGAAGGACACUACAAAAAUGACGGGGAGGCAGAUGAUGGUCCAGAGGACAAUGUGAGGUCCUCUGUCUAGCCCAACAUCACAUUUCUUCUUCUUCUCAGGUACAUCUUCUUUAGGAGGUUCCUUUGACUUAGCCAGUUCCUGCAGCUCUUUAUCUGUUAGGGUGACGUGGAUGUCCACCAUCUGACCCUUCUUCUUUCCCCUGGUGAUUGUUCCAGUCAAGGUGACAUAGCGGCUGUCUAAAGGCAUGUUCCAGACACCUACAACACAGAUAAACUCAUCUACAUCAGAUUUAUUUGCUGUACAAAGUAUUUUGUGUAAAUCUUCAAAGACCCCAAAGACAAUUAGAUAGUACAUAUGGAGUUGUAUUUAGAAUCAGAUUUUAAAAGAUGGAAGACAAGAAGCAAUGCAGUAUGAAGAAAAUUACCACAAAAGAAAAUGGAAGAAGAGCUAAUGAGGAAAAUGACAGGAAUUCCAAAUGAUAGAAAUCACAAGGGAGAAAACUCUAGUAUCUCCACUAGGGAAAAUACGUGAAGGGAAAGUGCUGCAAGAGUAUAGGAGAAUGAGAGAGAAUGAGACAGAGUAACUCAAUUGAAAAUGGUAUACAUAUUUUCUCUGUUUACUUCAUGGAUUUAUUCCUGAACAGCAUGGACACUUGGGAUUAAUUAGAUAAAUAUCACUGAGACUGUUGUUUUGGAAUAAGCACAUCCACACAUGGAAUUAUACCUGAAUAGCUAAUAUUUCACUUUACAUUUGCAUUGUAGCUCAAUCCAAAUUAAUUUUUGAAGUUUAGAACAACUUAACAAACUAUCAUAAAAUUAUUUUUGCAUUUUAAGAGAUCAGUAGAGGCACCAAACUGGACAGUGCUGGUAUAUGUGUUAAAGCUACAAAGGGUCUGCUUUAGCUUUCAAGUGACAUUGGUAUAGGAUGGGCCAUGCAGUAGUACUGGCCAUAAACUCCUCUUUGGGGCUACAGCAUAUUUCCUCCUGGUCUUAAUUCUGACUAGCUUGGAAGAAGGUCUUCAGAAACUCUUAAAAAGAGGCUGAGCAGCUUGAAGGGCUGCAAAAAAGUAGGAAGGCAGCAGGCAAGUAAUGAUAGGUCUGGGAUCAUGGGGGCACCUGGUGUAGCUGGUGGCCCAGGAGCAUUUGAGCCCCUCUCAGCCUGCACUGCUGACUCACUGGAGUAUUUAGCCACAGGACCUGCCUUCCACACUUCUUCCUGCAAGGGCAUCCAGGACAGAUAGCAGAAGUGAAAGUGACUCGAAGAUGCCCCGUGAUGACCUUGUCAAAUAAUCAACCUUCAAGAGGAAGCCGUGCUGAGUGCAUGCAAACAGAAGGCAACAGCAAAUCCUAGAUAAUAAGUUAAAUUCCCUAUCAAAGGUAGAGCCACUAACUCCAUCUGCUUCCAUCCUUUCACUUUACAGGCAGUUGUUCAGGCAUGGACAGCGGCUUGAUCACGGCUUAGAAGGACAUCAUUGGCUUAAUGCAUGCAUAGCACUGCAACCAGCACAUCAACCCCAACCAGCACAUACAUUUAAAACUAAGACUGUAGCAAUAACCAAAGUUUGCAAAGAACUGCAGGUGACAUCCCAAAUCAGCCUGGAAUGCUUUCUGUUUCAGAGCAUUUUAAUAUAUGAACUCAAGCUCUCCUUGCCUGCAGUCUUGGAGAGGGUUGGGCCCACAGUCACUUCCAUUUGACCUUAGAGCAUGAUGGCAUCAAAAAAGCUUAUGUGAAGUGAGUGUUCUCAGGACUACAUACCAUCUGUCAUAGACUGACCCAGGAACUUGGAGCCUUCCUCAGAGCUCUUCUCCCCUCCUUCUUCAUCUGCCUGUUCUUCCUCCACCUUAUUGUCAUGCUCGGACCGAUACACGAUUAUUGACUCGGGCCGGGACUCUUUCUUCUUCUUUUUCCUGCGGUCCAUAGUGGCUUCCCCAUCAAAGGUGACAGUGGUUGCCACAGCCCUUCUCAUUGUGCCACAGCGAGGGCUCUGGCCUCCAGACUUGCUGUCUUUCUGCACAGUCUCCUCCAUCCCGCUGCUGCUCUCAGUCACCUCACCUGGCAUCUUGUAGCACCUGUUUCCAAUCCAACAGCACCAAUCCUGCACUUAGAAGUCAUUGAUUAACAAUGGUCCCAUGGAUGCUUUGUUCUGGUAAGAUGUCCCACUGCUGGUAUCCAAACUAUGCACUCCAUUCCCAGCCUAAAAUGAGAGAGAAAGCUGAAAAAGUGUCUUUGUCUUACCAAGUAGAAAAGAUUGGCAGAAUUAUCCUCAAAAGAGUUACUUCCAACUGGUUUAAAUGUCAUCUGAAGAUCUCUAUUACUGUCCUGAAAAUCAAUUCUCUUACAUGCCUACGUGUUUUGUGGUUUCUAAUCUAUCUUGAUUCUUAGGGUCCAGUUUUCACUAGAACAAACCAAAGCUACUGGAAAGAGUAUUAACCUUUAUAAGAAGGGAUUAAACAUAGCCAGCUUACUGGAUGAAUUUAACAUUCCUCUGCAAUGCUGGAAACAAACAGAAGACAAUAGUUUUGGCCCAAAGGCAUCAGAAUAAAGGACUGAAACCAUAGAUGAAAAAGAAGUUGACCGAUUUAAGGGACUGGCCUAGAGACAACUGCAACAUGAACACUGUGCUUGUCCAGCAUUACAACAGCUAUAUUGGUGCUAGCCUUUCUCAUUUUGAGCUUCUAAUGAUUUACUCCCUUCUGCAAAGACAUUACAAAAAUUAAUCAAAUUAUGUCAAAAUGAGUGAUGUUUCAAACUUUAACAAUUUAGCAAUAUGUAGUGUUGCCAUACUUUAAAAAUACAGAAUAUACAGGGGAUUUAAAGCAAAAUUAUGAUUAAGAUGACUUUGGUGGAGAGGGAAUUGGGAACCACAGCAAAUUCUUCUGCUUGUGCAGAGAAAACAACACAAGUGUUCACAAAUCUUUUUAGCAAAAAUCAAUUUUUGCUCCUCAUUCAAGCAAAGUUAACAGCGAUAUCAAGUGAAACUGUCAUCCAUGGGAAAGCUGCCUAAGUAAAAACAUAAUUAAACAUGCAUCGAGGCAGGCAAAUCCUGUUCCAUGAAUAUGGAAAAAGGAUUAAUGGUUCUCAGAUUUCAUAACAUUUAAGCAAAGUGACUGUGCCAAGUAUUCAUGAAGCAUUUAGGUACAAAUCUGAAUACAAUGAAUAACAUUUUAACAACUCUGAAGAGCUCUGUUGAACAUUUACGUGAACAUUUGUAUUUAAAAAAAUGCAACUGACCAAUAGUUAAGCUUCUACCUAGUAACUGAGUCUUUCCUUUAACAGGAAACUAAGAAACACAAGUAUCACAGUUUACAGCCUACAUAAUGUUGGGAAAUAGUUUUACUUGAAAGGAUGACAGAAAAAAGUUAAGCAUUUUUAAAUUUGGCAGUAUGGUCCUGGUCUUCCCACAGAUCUAAGAUUUUGCUGGUCUGUUUUGAAAUUUUGUGCAGAACUUUAGAUCAACUAUUUAUGCCUGGUAUGCUCACACUUAAACACACCAUACCCACACAAAACUUGUAAUUGUAUCACUUUAACACCUAAGACUGUGCCCAUUUGGCUCUAUGGAGCUUCGAAGAAUUCAACAAUUCAGAUUAUUUUUGUGCAUUAGAGAAAAUAAAUCUUCCCUGGUGAUCAGAAGACACAUAAAAUGGACUUAAAAACCCCCUCAAAAUUCAGUAUACCCUAGAAAUCAGACUACUUCUAAAUUACUGGGCAGACAAUACUUUUAGCUCUGCAGCAUGGCUGGAAGGAGUCUGUUGCCAUCAAACCUGCCAUAAAAUAUGCAUGUCUAAAUUAGCAGACACACUGGAAAACAAAUUCAUGUAAGCUUUUGUUUGUUGGCUUUUUUGUUUGCUUGGUUUUUGUUUUGUUUUGUUUUGUUUUUGUUUUAAUGCCUUUAGGGGUAAAUGGAAUUAUUUUAUGCAAUGGAAUAAACUCACUCUUUGUAGUAAAUUCA
This is a long non-coding RNA of Melospiza melodia melodia, 4562 nucleotides long. RefSeq lists it as uncharacterized. Lineage: Eukaryota; Metazoa; Chordata; Aves; Passeriformes; Passerellidae. The transcript is spliced from 3 exons. The record is from RefSeq and is a predicted model, not a curated record.